Molecule: ribosomal RNA, 233 nt
Filed under: uncultured bacterium
Lineage: Bacteria
Description: partial 16S ribosomal RNA
Rfam family: Bacterial small subunit ribosomal RNA
Source: RNAcentral
GAUCAUGGCUCAGGAUGAACGCUAGCUACAGGCUUAACACAUGCAAGUCGAGGGGCAGCAUGAUUGAAGCUUGCUUCAAUUGAUGGCGACCGGCGCACGGGUGAGUAACACGUAUCCAACCUUCCGUACACUCAGGGAUAGCCUUUCGAAAGAAAGAUUAAUACCUGAUGGUAUCUUAAGCACACAUGUAAUUAAGAUUAAAGAAUUAUUCGGUGUACGAUGGGGAGUGCGUU